Rattus norvegicus (Norway rat) is the source of this 61-nucleotide small nuclear RNA. Ensembl annotates it as U2 spliceosomal RNA. The record is from Ensembl. Lineage: Eukaryota; Metazoa; Chordata; Mammalia; Rodentia; Muridae.
AUCGCUUCUCGGCCUUUUGGCUAAGAUCAAGUGUAGUAUCAAAAUCAUCCCUACAUCCUAA